GUCGAAGGUGGGGCUGAUGACUGGGGUGAAGUCGUAACAAGGUAGCCGUACCGGAAGGUGCGGCUGGAUCACCUCCUAACAGGGAGACAAACAACGAUUUUGAUGCCUGAGUGUUUUAUUCUUAGGCCGAAAUCCUGUCACCUUAGGUCGAUCGGUACCUCAGCUUUGAAAUCACAGAUUCUGCAGCAAUGUCGAUGAGAGUGAUGGAGAUUUUCAGUUCCUAAACUUUGUCUAGGUCACACCCCACAAGGGUUGAGUUUUCCUGGGCCAUUAGCUCAGGUGGUUAGAGCGCACCCCUGAUAAGGGUGAGGUCCCUGGUUCAAGUCCAGGAUGGCCCAUUCGGUGUUGGGGGUUUAGCUCAGUUGGUAGAGCGCCUGCUUUGCAAGCAGGAUGUCAGGAGUUCGAGUCUCCUAACCUCCACUGACCGAACUCAAUCUCCGGCUCUGUAUUGAAUAAUGGAGAGCAAUUCGGUUGUGAUGUGUGAUUUAGAUGUGUCCGCUGGAUAGACCCCAGCUUCCUGUCAUUCCAAAUCAUCAAAUUUGGUUGAUAAGAUGCUGGGCUCGAAUCAGGUCAAACUGAUUUGCUGUCUAGCUGAACCUUGACAACUGCAUAGUUGAAGUCUGGAAAAAACAAAGCAUCUCAUGGAUGCAUUGUUUUGAGUUUAAGCAUUCAUCCGAAUGUUUAAAACCAGAGCAAUGAAAAUUCUUUUGAGCAAGAGCCGAGACUCUAAAAUGUUCUUCUAAUCGUGUCGAGCGAUUGGGAGUUUGAUCUUAUUUUUAAUUUGCUUAGGCAGAAGCUAAAAAUUUGAAAAUCUGCUUUCAACGGCGGUAAGCAUUUUAGAGAUACAUUGGUCAAGCUACAAAGGGCUCA
This 870-nucleotide unclassified non-coding RNA is filed under the name uncultured Synechococcus sp. Its description in RNAcentral is "partial may contain 16S ribosomal RNA, 16S-23S ribosomal RNA intergenic spacer, and 23S ribosomal RNA". The stretch from base 348 to 420 matches the Rfam family "tRNA". The record is from RNAcentral. Lineage: Bacteria; Bacillati; Cyanobacteriota; Cyanophyceae; Synechococcales; Synechococcaceae.